UGCAAGUCGAACGAGAGCGACCGGUGCUUGCACUGGUCAAUCUAGUGGCGAACGGGUGAGUAACACGUGGGUAACCUGCCCAUCAGAGGGGGAUAACAUUCGGAAACGGAUGCUAAAACCGCAUAGGUUCUUUAGUCGCAUGACUGGAGAAGGAAAAGAGGCUUCGGCUUCUGCUGAUGGAUGGACCCGCGGUGCAUUAGCUAGUUGGUGAGGUAACGGCUCACCAAGGCCGUGAUGCAUAGCCGACCUGAGAGGGUGAUCGGCCACAUUGGGACUGAGACACGGCCCAAACUCCUACGGGAGGCAGCAGUAGGGAAUCUUCCGCAAUGGACGCAAGUCUGACGGAGCAACGCCGCGUGAGUGAAGAAGGAUUUCGGUUCGUAAAACUCUGUUGUUAGAGAAGAACAGCGCAUAGAGUAACUGUUAUGCGUGUGACGGUAUCUAACCAGAAAGCCACGGCUAACUACGUGCCAGCAGCCGCGGUAAUACGUAGGUGGCAAGCGUUGUCCGGAUUUAUUGGGCGUAAAGCGAGCGCAGGCGGUCAAUUAAGUCUGAUGUGAAAGCCCCCGGCUCAACCGGGGAGGGUCAUUGGAAACUGGUUGACUUGAGUGCAGAAGAGGAGAGUGGAAUUCCAUGUGUAGCGGUGAAAUGCGUAGAUAUAUGGAGGAACACCAGUGGCGAAGGCGACUCUCUGGUCUGUAACUGACGCUGAGGCUCGAAAGCGUGGGUAGCAAACAGGAUUAGAUACCCUGGUAGUCCACGCCGUAAACGAUGAGUGCUAAGUGUUGGAGGGCUUCCGCCCUUCA
This 806-nucleotide ribosomal RNA is filed under the name uncultured Lactobacillales bacterium. RNAcentral describes it as "bacterial SSU rRNA". It matches the Rfam family "Bacterial small subunit ribosomal RNA", at positions 56 to 842 of the family's 1533-position model. Lineage: Bacteria; Bacillati; Bacillota; Bacilli; Lactobacillales. The record is from RNAcentral.